UGGGGAAUUUUCCGCAAUGGGCGAAAGCCUGACGGAGCAAUACCGCGUGAGGGAGGAAGGCUCUUGGGUUGUAAACCUCUUUUCUCAGGGAAGAAGCAAGUGACGGUACCUGAGGAAUAAGCAUCGGCUAACUCCGUGCCAGCAGCCGCGGUAAUACGGAGGAUGCAAGCGUUAUCCGGAAUCAUUGGGCGUAAAGCGUCCGCAGGUGGCGCUUCAAGUCUGCUGUCAAAGGCCGGAGCUCAACUCUGGAAAGGCAGUGGAAACUGAAGAGCUAGAGUGCGGUAGGGGUAGAGGGAAUUCCCAGUGUAGCGGUGAAAUGCGUAGAGAUUGGGAAGAACAUCGGUGGCGAAAGCGCUCUGCUGGGCCGCAACUGACACUCAGGGACGAAAGCUAGGGGAGCGAAAGGGAUUAGAUACCCCCGUAGUCC
Molecule: ribosomal RNA, 427 nt
Filed under: uncultured prokaryote
Description: bacterial SSU rRNA
Rfam family: Bacterial small subunit ribosomal RNA
Source: RNAcentral